Humulus lupulus (European hop) is the source of this 1079-nucleotide long non-coding RNA. RefSeq lists it as uncharacterized. The record is from RefSeq and is a predicted model, not a curated record. The transcript has 3 exons. NCBI's taxonomy places the organism in Eukaryota, Viridiplantae, Streptophyta, Magnoliopsida, Rosales, Cannabaceae.
GGAAGCCCUAAAUCCUAAAACGUGAAAUCCCUAAUUCCCAGCCCUCCUGACCGUACCCGGAGAAGAACUACCCAUCCCGACGAUUUCUCCCUCAGGUGAUAGCUAAUCCAGACUGACGUCGAAAGAGACAGAGGAGCAAUGAACCCAAGCUAUACCAACAGACCCAACCCAGACUGAUGAACCUAACCAGAGGAGACAGAGGAAACGAAGGAGACGGUGGACCCGAAAUGGAAGCCCGACGAAUCAUCGCCCGUGUAUGGUGAGGUAGUGAGUAUUUCACUGUCAAGUUUCACCAUGGAGACAUGUGGUUAUUUCCCUUUUGCAAUAGAAACUACCAGGGUGGUGAAUUCUCAUACUGGGACAAGAAUGACGUUGACUGAUUUUGUAGAAUGAUUUUGGAAGAUAUUGGACUAAUGGAGGGGUACAAACUGCCAUUUGUGUUUUAUUACAAACCACCAGGAAAGAUUCUGAAUCAGGGGAAGGUGAUCAUUGAGGAUAAGGAGACUAUUGAAAUAGUUUAGGAGAUGAUGAAGCUAAAAAUUUGGGAAAUAGAUGUGUACUUGGUCAAAUUGAAUGCAACCUGGCCAUAUUAAACCUACUUGCACAGACUCUACUGUUAAUGAGAGAGGUCGUCCACCACAGGCCAAUCCAACUCAAGAAACUAUCAAAAGGAAGGAGCAAUUGAGAAAGUCGAUAACUAAACAUCCUAACACAAGUUCUAGACCCACAACUAGGCUAGCUGCAAGAGAAAGGGGUAGUAGGUGGAAGAUGCAAUGGAUCCUUUGAAGAUGAUGAUGUCUUUUGUUCUUCUUUUAUUUUGGGACAUUUACUUAUUUAGAAAACUAUUGAGUAUUAGUCAAAUGCAGUUGCAGAAUGUCAAUUACAUAGUUCAUGAGGUCUUUUUUUUUAAACGUCUAACUCUUGGAUACAUUGGUAUAUGUCUAACUAUAGAUGGUGUAUAUCAGGAGCUUUUGGGUCAUGUCUUUACAUGUAAAUGGUGUAUAAUCAUUGUACAUCUGUUGAAUAGUUUGGACAUGUUUAUUGAACAUGCCAUUUUAAUGAAUAGGUUAUUUAUACUA